CGAAAGCCUGACGGAGCAAGACCGCGUGAGGGAGGAAGGCUCUUGGGUUGUAAACCUCUUUUCUCAGGGAAGAAGCUCUGACGGUACCUGAGGAAUCAGCCUCGGCUAACUCCGUGCCAGCAGCCGCGGUAAUACGGAGGAGGCAAGCGUUAUCCGGAAUUAUUGGGCGUAAAGCGUCCGCAGGUGGCGAUUCAAGUCUGCUGUCAAAACCCAGGGCUCAACUCUGGUCAGGCAGUGGAAACUACAUAGCUAGAGUUCGGUAGGGGCAAAGGGAAUUCCCGGUGUAGCGGUGAAAUGCGUAGAGAUCGGGAAGAACAUCGGUGGCGAAAGCGCUCUACUGGACGGCAACUGACACUCAGGGACGAAAGCUAGGGGAGCG
This 379-nucleotide ribosomal RNA is filed under the name uncultured cyanobacterium. RNAcentral's name for it is "bacterial SSU rRNA". It matches the Rfam family "Bacterial small subunit ribosomal RNA", at positions 376 to 770 of the family's 1533-position model. Lineage: Bacteria; Bacillati; Cyanobacteriota. The record is from RNAcentral.